This 393-nucleotide ribosomal RNA is filed under the name uncultured bacterium. Its description in RNAcentral is "partial 16S ribosomal RNA". It matches the Rfam family "Bacterial small subunit ribosomal RNA", at positions 523 to 918 of the family's 1533-position model. The record is from RNAcentral.
AUACGGAGGAUCCGAGCGUUAUCCGGAUUUAUUGGGUUUAAAGGGUGCGCAGGCGGGAGAUUAAGUCGGCGGUGAAAUUUUGCAGCUCAACUGUAAAAGUGCCUUCGAAACUGGUUUCCUUGAGUGUAGAUGAAGUAGGCGGAAUUUUUGGUGUAGCGGGGAAAUGCAUAGAUAUCACGAGGAACUCCGAUUGCGCAGGCAGCUUACUAAACUACUACUGACGCUCAGGCACGAAGGCGUGGGGAUCAAACAGGAUUAGAUACCCUGGUAGUCCACGCAGUAAACGAUGAUUACUAGCUGUUUGCGAUACAAUGUAAGCGGCUGAGCGAAAGCGUUAAGUAAUCCACCUGGGGAGUACGUUCGCAAGAAUGAAACUCAAAUGAAUUGACGGGG